CCUACGGGAGGCAGCAGUGGGGGAUAUUGCACAAUGGGGGAAACCCUGAUGCAGCGACGCCGCGUGGACGAAGAAGUAUUUCGGUAUGUAAAGUCCUAUCAGCAGGGAAGAAGAAAUGACGGUACCUGAAUAAGAAGCCCCGGCUAACUACGUGCCAGCAGCCGCGGUAAUACGGAGGGGGCAAGCGUUAUCCGGAUUUACUGGGUGUAAAGGGAGCGCAGGCGGCAGCGCAAGUCUGAUGUGAAAGCCCGGGGCCCAACCGCGGGACUGCAUUGGAAACUGCGCAGGUGGAGUGCCGGAGGGGUAAGCGGAAUGCCUAGUGUAGCGGUGAAAUGCGUAGAUAUUAGGAGGAACACCAGUGGCGAAGGCGGCUUACUGGACGGCAACUGACGCUGAGGCUCGAAAGCGUGGGGAGCAAACAGGAUUAGAUACCCUUGUAGUC
RNAcentral lists this ribosomal RNA (442 nucleotides) under uncultured bacterium. RNAcentral describes it as "partial 16S ribosomal RNA". It matches the Rfam family "Bacterial small subunit ribosomal RNA", at positions 338 to 795 of the family's 1533-position model. The record is from RNAcentral.